This 584-nucleotide ribosomal RNA is filed under the name uncultured bacterium. RNAcentral describes it as "partial 16S ribosomal RNA". It matches the Rfam family "Bacterial small subunit ribosomal RNA", at positions 355 to 1375 of the family's 1533-position model. The record is from RNAcentral.
UGGGGAAUUUUGGACAAUGGGCGAAAGCCUGAUCCAGCAAUGCCGCGUGUGUGAAGAAGGCCUUCGGGUUGUAAAGCACUUUUGUCCGGAAAGAAAUCCUUGGCUCUAAUACAGUCGGGGGAUGACGGUACCGGAAGAAUAAGCGCCGGCUAACUACGUGCCAGCAGCCGCGGUAAUACGUAGGGUGCAAGCGUUAAUCGGAAUUACUGGGCGUAAAGCGUGCGCAGGCGGUUUGCUAAGACCGAUGUGAAAUCCCCGGGCUCAACCUGGGAACUGCAUUGGUGACUGGCAGGCUAGAGUAUGGCAGAGGGGGGUAGAAUUCCACGUGUAGCAGUGAAAUGCGUAGAGAUGUGGAGGAAUACCGAUGGCGAAGGCAGCCCCCUGGGCCAAUACUGACGCUCAUGCACGAAAGCGUGGGGAGCAAACAGGAUUAGAUACCCUGGUAGUCCACGCCCUAAACGAUGUCAACUAGUUGUUGGGGAUUCAUUUCCUUAGUAACGUAGCUAACGCGUGAAGUUGACCGCCUGGGGAGUACGGUCGCAAGAUUAAAACUCAAUGAAUUGACGGGGUCAUAGCUGUUUCCU